AGAAGUGAGAAUGCCGGUGUGAGUAGCGAAAGACGGGUGAGAAUCCCGUCCACCGAUUGACUAAGGUUUCCAGAGGAAGGCUCGUCCGCUCUGGGUUAGUCGGGUCCUAAGCUGAGGCCGACAGGCGUAGGCGAUGGAUAACAGGUUGAUAUUCCUGUACCACCAUUAUUCGUUUUAAGCGAUGGGGGGACGCAGUAGGAUAGGCGAAGCGUGCUGUUGGAGUGCACGUCCAAGCAGUGAGAUUGAGUGUUAGGCAAAUCCGGCACUCUUAAGAUUGAGCUGUGAUGGGGAGAGGAACUUGUUCCUCGAGUCGUUGAUUUCACACUGCCGAGAAAAGCCUCUAGCUAGAAUAACGGUGCCCGUACCGCAAACCGACACAGGUAGUCAAGAUGAGAAUUCUAAGGUGAGCGAGCGAACUCUCGUUAAGGAACUCGGCAAAAUGACCCCGUAACUUCGGGAGAAGGGGUGCUCUUUGAGGUUCACGCUUCGAAGAGCCGCAGUGAAUAGGCCCAAGCGACUGUUUAUCAAAAACACAGGUCUCUGCUAAACCGUAAGGUGACGUAUAGGGGCUGACGCCUGCCCGGUGCUGGAAGGUUAAGAGGAGUGGUUAGCGCAAGCGAAGCUACGAAUCGAAGCCCCAGUAAACGGCGGCCGUAACUAUAACGGUCCUAAGGUAGCGAAAUUCCUUGUCGGGUAAGUUCCGACCCGCACGAAAGGCGUAACGAUUUGGGCACUGUCUCAACGAGAGACUCGGUGAAAUCAUAGUACCGGUGAAGAUGCCGGUUACCCGCGACAGGACGGAAAGACCCCGUGGAGCUUUACUGUAGCCUGAUAUUGAAAUUCGGUACAGUUUGUACAGGAUAGGUAGGAGCCUUAGAAGCGUGAGCGCUAGCUUACGUGGAGGCAUUGGUGGGAUACUACCCUAAUUGUAUUGGAUUUCUAACCCGCAGCACUUAUCGUGCUGGGAGACAGUGUCAGGCGGGCAGUUUGACUGGGGCGGUCGCCUCCUAAAGAGUAACGGAGGCGCUCAAAGGUUCCCUCAGAAUGGUUGGAAAUCAUUCAUAGAGUGUAAAGGCAUAAGGGAGCUUGACUGCGAGACCUACAAGUCGAGCAGGGUCGAAAGACGGACUUAGUGAUCCGGUGGUUCCGCAUGGAAGGGCCAUCGCUCAACGGAUAAAAGCUACCCCGGGGAUAACAGGCUUAUCUCCCCCAAGAGUUCACAUCGACGGGGAGGUUUGGCACCUCGAUGUCGGCUCAUCGCAUCCUGGGGCUGUAGUCGGUCCCAAGGGUUGGGCUGUUCGCCCAUUAAAGCGGUACGCGAGCUGGGUUCAGAACGUCGUGAGACAGUUCGGUCCCUAUCCGUCGUGGGCGUAGGAAAUUUGAGAGGAGCUGUCCUUAGUACGAGAGGACC
RNAcentral lists this ribosomal RNA (1411 nucleotides) under Staphylococcus pseudintermedius. Its description in RNAcentral is "partial 23S ribosomal RNA". It matches the Rfam family "Bacterial large subunit ribosomal RNA", at positions 1284 to 2693 of the family's 2925-position model. The record is from RNAcentral. Lineage: Bacteria; Bacillati; Bacillota; Bacilli; Caryophanales; Staphylococcaceae.